Molecule: unclassified non-coding RNA, 388 nt
Filed under: fungal sp.
Lineage: Eukaryota; Fungi
Description: partial internal transcribed spacer region
Rfam family: Eukaryotic small subunit ribosomal RNA (bases 1-46)
Source: RNAcentral
AAGUCGUAACAAGGUUUCCGUAGGUGAACCUGCGGAAGGAUCAUUAACACGUAUCCAACGUUAAACAACCCUGUGAACUUUAAGUCCCCUCUUGCAGCCCAUGAGGAACAGCAAUCCCGGUAAAUCAUUGCCAAACAGUUUUGAUUCGGGACCUCUGUCCAAAAGGAGUUGCAAUCGAAGGGUGGAAGCAGUGGCAGUUAGUGAAUGACAGUGUCACUGACUGUGUAAGGAUAACGCCUCACGGUUGCUAGAGGUCGAUCACCGACCGGCAGACAUGUCACAGGGUCACCACGCCCCUUAAUCACUCCACUUGAAAAUGCCCCGCCUAGUGGUAACGCGCUAGGUAAAAAAAACCGAACAACUGUUAACAAUGGAUAUCUUGGUUCUC